Molecule: ribosomal RNA, 464 nt
Filed under: uncultured bacterium
Lineage: Bacteria
Description: bacterial SSU rRNA
Rfam family: Bacterial small subunit ribosomal RNA
Source: RNAcentral
AGAGGAACUCUGACCAGUCUGACGCCGCGUGAGGAUGAGGCUCGGGUUGUAACCCCCANUCAUUUUCAGGCAGAGAAUAAGCGAAUGAGGUACCUGCAAAGAACACCGGCUACUAUGUGCCAGCAGCCGGCGGUUAAAUACAUAGGGUGCAAGCGUUGUCCGGAAUUAUUGGGCGUAAAGAGCUCGUAGGUGGUCGAUCACGUCAGGAUGUGAAAAUCUGAGGCUUAACCUCAGACCUGCAUUCGAUACGGGUUGACUGGAGUGUGGUAGGGGAGACUGGAAUUCCUGGUGUAGCGGUGGAAUGCGCAGAUAUCAGGAGGAACACCGAUGGCGAAGGCAGGUCUCUGGGCCAUUACUGACACUGAGGAGCGAAAGCGUGGGGAGCGAACAGGAUUAGAUACCCUGGUAGUCCACGCCCUAAACGAUGUCAACUGGUUGUUGGGUCUUCACUGACUCAGUAACNA